GGGCCGUUAGCUUAGUUGGUAGAGCGCCGCGUUUGCAACGCGGAGGUCAUCGGUUCGAAUCCGAUACGGUCCACCC
Molecule: transfer RNA, 76 nt
Filed under: Candidatus Moraniibacteriota bacterium
Lineage: Bacteria; Candidatus Moraniibacteriota
Description: Candidatus Moranbacteria bacterium tRNA-Ala
Rfam family: tRNA
About the family: Transfer RNA (tRNA) molecules are approximately 80 nucleotides in length. Their secondary structure includes four short double-helical elements and three loops (D, anti-codon, and T loops). Further hydrogen bonds mediate the characteristic L-shaped molecular structure. tRNAs have two regions of fundamental functional importance: the anti-codon, which is responsible for specific mRNA codon recognition, and the 3' end, to which the tRNAs corresponding amino acid is attached (by aminoacyl-tRNA synthetases). tRNAs cope with the degeneracy of the genetic code in two manners: having more than one tRNA (with a specific anti-codon) for a particular amino acid; and 'wobble' base-pairing, i.e. permitting non-standard base-pairing at the 3rd anti-codon position.
Source: RNAcentral